Molecule: unclassified non-coding RNA, 337 nt
Filed under: soil metagenome
Description: partial contains 5.8S ribosomal RNA, internal transcribed spacer 2, and large subunit ribosomal RNA
Rfam family: 5.8S ribosomal RNA (bases 1-119)
Source: RNAcentral
AUGAAGAACGCAGCGAAAUGCGAUAAGUAGUGUGAAUUGCAGAAUUCAGUGAAUCAUCGAAUCUUUGAACGCACAUUGCGCCCCUUGGUAUUCCAUGGGGCAUGCCUGUUCGAGCGUCAUCUACACCCUCAAGCUCUGCUUGGUGUUGGGCGUCUGUCCCGCCCCCGCGCGUGGACUCGCCCCAAAUCCAUUGGCAGCGUUCCUUGCCCCCUCUCGCGCAGCACAUUGCGCUUCUCGAGGGCGGCUCCGGGACGCGAUCCAGCAAGAUGACCACCGUCUUUGACCUCGGAUCAGGUAGGGAUACCCGCUGAACUUAAGCAUAUCAAUAAGCGGAGGA